ACGGGAGGCAGCAGUGAGGAAUGUUGGUCAAUGGGCGAGAGCCUGAACCAGCCAAGUUGCGUGAAGGAUGAAGGUUCUAUGGAUUGUAAACUUCUUUUGUUCGAGGGUAAAGUGAGUCACGUGUGAUUUAUUGCAAGUAUCGAACGAAUAAGCAUCGGCUAACUCCGUGCCAGCAGCCGCGGUAAUACGGAGGAUGCGAGCGUUAUCCGGAUUUAUUGGGUUAAAAGGGUGCGUAGGCGGGAUGUUAAGUCAGCGGUUAAAUAGUGUAGCUCAACUAUACUUUGCCGUUGAAACUGGCGUUCUUGAGUGUAAACGAGGUAGGCGGAAUGUGACGUGUAGCGGUGAAAUGCUUAGAUAUGUCACAGAACCCCGAUUGCGAAGGCAGCUUACCAGGAUACAACUGACGCUGAGGCACGAAAGCGUGGGUAUCAAACAGGAUUAGAUACCCUGGUA
Molecule: ribosomal RNA, 453 nt
Filed under: uncultured Porphyromonadaceae bacterium
Lineage: Bacteria; Pseudomonadati; Bacteroidota; Bacteroidia; Bacteroidales; Porphyromonadaceae
Description: bacterial SSU rRNA
Rfam family: Bacterial small subunit ribosomal RNA
Source: RNAcentral